Macaca mulatta (Rhesus monkey) is the source of this 296-nucleotide long non-coding RNA. RefSeq lists it as uncharacterized. NCBI's taxonomy places the organism in Eukaryota, Metazoa, Chordata, Mammalia, Primates, Cercopithecidae. The record is from RefSeq and is a predicted model, not a curated record.
CAGACCGCCUCUCUCUCAGUCUUCAGGGAGUACUUGUCUUCCGGCCAGCUCUCUUCCUGCUUCUGCUAUCUUGCUGACGCAGGCUGCUGGUGCAAGGGAUCUUGCACCUUGGGACUGGGCCUGAGAAGAGUGUUUCUUGGAGGUAGAGCAGUCAUCAACAUCCCCGUUUUGUUGACUGGAGAAUGAAGCAAUUCCACAGCCAAUGCAUGGCAGGGCAAGAUAAGAGCAUGCCAGAAACUAUACAAUCCACCCCCUUUGAAGGAGUUUGCUCAUUUAAAAAAAAAAAAGGGUAAGCA